This 375-nucleotide ribosomal RNA is filed under the name uncultured organism. Its description in RNAcentral is "partial 16S ribosomal RNA". It matches the Rfam family "Bacterial small subunit ribosomal RNA", at positions 527 to 896 of the family's 1533-position model. The record is from RNAcentral.
GGAGGGUGCGAGCGUUGUCCGGAAUCACUGGGCGUAAAGGGCGCGUAGGCGGCGCAGUAAGUAGGGGGUGAAAUCUCACGGCUCAACCGUGAAACGGCCUCCUAAACUGCUGUGCUUGAGCACGGUAGAGGCAGAUGGAAUUCCCGGUGUAGCGGUGGAAUGCGUAGAUAUCGGGAAGAACACCAGUGGCGAAGGCGGUCUGCUGGGCCGUUGCUGACGCUGAGGCGCGACAGCGUGGGGGGGAGCAAACAGGAUUAGAUACCCUGGUAGUCCACGCCGUAAACGAUGGGUACUAGGCGUCGGGGGGGAGCGACCCCUUCGGUGCCGUCGCUAACGCAGUAAGUACCCCGCCUGGGGAGUACGGCCGCAAGGCUG